This 400-nucleotide unclassified non-coding RNA is filed under the name uncultured fungus. RNAcentral describes it as "sequence contains ITS1". The stretch from base 1 to 105 matches the Rfam family "5.8S ribosomal RNA", at positions 50 to 154 of the family's 154-position model. Lineage: Eukaryota; Fungi. The record is from RNAcentral.
UAGCUGCGUUAAGCGGUGUGAAUUGCAGGACACGCCGAACACUAGAUUUUCGAACGCACAUUGCACCUUUGGGUCUUUCCCAAAGGUACGCCUGUCUGAGGGUCGGAAUAAAAUUGAAACAUACUAAGGCUCGCAUCGAGAGACAAACACACUAGUUGUUGUUAUACUUUCGUCGAGCAUGAGAUGUUUAGCGAGAUUGGUUAGUUAGCGAUUGCAUGUCUGUCUUGUACGACAUAAAAGCGGCUACCAGCGGCAACACUACAUGUUGUCGCUGCGCUUUGAGUCCUCGAGUUACAAGUCAGCAUAAUUUGUAGUUGCAACGACUGUACCAUUGUCCGCUAAAAGCCAUAAAACAAGCAGCGUUUACGCGCUUGCUUACACUUAUUUUGUCGACCUCAGA